CGUGCUGCGGAAGCAUGAGCUCCCACCUUGUGACAGCAUGAAGACAUCCCGGGGCUCCUGUCACCCACCCCUUCGCUUUCCAGAUGAUCAAAUAGAGAUUUAGGGAGUUGAGGUGACUCUUUUCAAGGUCACACAGAGAACCAGUGGCCCAGAAAGGCUCGGAAAGCAGCCUCCUAAGUUCUGGCAAGCCCAUCGGGCCGUCCUUCGCAGUGGUAAGAGGAAUGACAAGGGGACCUUGUCCUCAGCCACGCCCACUGACUGCACCUGACCUCUGUCGCCUUUUGGUGCUGCAGUAUUCAGGCACUCUCCACUUGGGAUACAGCUCCAAUAGAUCCGUUUUCUCCUUCACUGUUGGCCUUCCCCGCCUUGCAAACGAGCACCUAGCUUCCUGCCUUCUAAAGGAAUGAAUAGCCUACGGCCUACAGCCUUACCCCAAGGAGAGAAACUGUAAAGGUCAGCACGUCUCCGUGUCCAGCUGGUCACCCAGGGGAGCCUGCAGAAGCUUAUGUGGAGGGGCACCCAGGUGGUUCAGUGGUUGAGCGUCCAUCUCUGGCUCAGGGCUUGAUCCUGGGGUCCUGGGAUCGGGUCCUACAUCAGGCUCCCCACAGGGAGCCUGCUUCUCCCUUUGCCUGUGUC
Long non-coding RNA from Canis lupus familiaris (dog), 636 nucleotides. RefSeq lists it as uncharacterized. The transcript is spliced from 4 exons. The record is from RefSeq and is a predicted model, not a curated record. NCBI's taxonomy places the organism in Eukaryota, Metazoa, Chordata, Mammalia, Carnivora, Canidae.